This is a non-coding RNA of Globicatella sp. HMSC072A10, 70 nucleotides long. The record is from Rfam. NCBI's taxonomy places the organism in Bacteria, Bacillati, Bacillota, Bacilli, Lactobacillales, Aerococcaceae.
CGUAUCUUAGUAACAACGAAUCAUGAGAAGUCAGCAGAGGUCAUAGUAGGUUGUCUACCAACUGAAGGAC